RNAcentral lists this ribosomal RNA (645 nucleotides) under uncultured Bacteroidota bacterium. RNAcentral describes it as "bacterial SSU rRNA". It matches the Rfam family "Bacterial small subunit ribosomal RNA", at positions 61 to 709 of the family's 1533-position model. The record is from RNAcentral. Lineage: Bacteria; Pseudomonadati; Bacteroidota.
GUCGAGGGGUAUGGCAGCAAUGCCAGAGACCGGCGCACGGGUGCGUAACGCGUAUGCAAUCUGCCUUUCACAGAGGGAUAGCCCAGAGAAAUUUGGAUUAAUACCUCAUAGCAUAAUGAGUUGGCAUCAACACAUUAUUAAAGUCACAACGGUGAAAGAUGAGCAUGCGUCCCAUUAGCUAGUUGGUAAGGUAACGGCUUACCAAGGCGACGAUGGGUAGGGGUCCUGAGAGGGAGAUCCCCCACACUGGUACUGAGACACGGACCAGACUCCUACGGGAGGCAGCAGUGAGGAAUAUUGGUCAAUGGGCGCAAGCCUGAACCAGCCAUGCCGCGUGCAGGAUGACGGUCCUAUGGAUUGUAAACUGCUUUUGUACGGGAAGAAACAGCGAUUCGUGAAUCGCCUUGACGGUACCGUAAGAAUAAGGAUCGGCUAACUCCGUGCCAGCAGCCGCGGUAAUACGGAGGAUCCAAGCGUUAUCCGGAAUCAUUGGGUUUAAAGGGUCCGUAGGCGGUUUUGUAAGUCAGUGGUGAAAGCCCAUCGCUCAACGGUGGAACGGCCAUUGAUACUGCAAGACUUGAAUUAUUAGGAAGUAACUAGAAUAUGUAGUGUAGCGGUGAAAUGCUUAGAGACUACAUGGAAUAC